RNAcentral lists this ribosomal RNA (470 nucleotides) under uncultured bacterium. RNAcentral's name for it is "bacterial SSU rRNA". It matches the Rfam family "Bacterial small subunit ribosomal RNA", at positions 58 to 521 of the family's 1533-position model. The record is from RNAcentral.
CAAGUCGAACGGCAGCACGGGUGCUUGCACCUGGUGGCGAGUGGCGAACGGGUGAGUAAUACAUCGGAACGUGUCCUGUAGUGGGGGAUAGCCCGGCGAAAGCCGGAUUAAUACCGCAUACGAUCUACGGAUGAAAGCGGGGGAUCUUCGGACCUCGCGCUAUAGGGGCGGCCGAUGGCGGAUUAGCUAGUUGGUGGGGUAAAGGCCUACCAAGGCGACGAUCCGUAGCUGGUCUGAGAGGACGACCAGCCACACUGGGACUGAGACACGGCCCAGACUCCUACGGGGGGCAGCAGUGGGGAAUUUUGGACAAUGGGCGAAAGCCUGAUCCAGCAAUGCCGCGUGUGUGAAGAAGGCCUUCGGGUUGUAAAGCACUUUUGUCCGGAAAGAAAUCCUGAUGGCUAAUAUCCGUCGGGGAUGACGGUACCGGAAGAAUAAGCACCGGCUAACUACGUGCCAGCAGCCGCGGU